RNAcentral lists this ribosomal RNA (386 nucleotides) under uncultured bacterium. RNAcentral's name for it is "bacterial SSU rRNA". It matches the Rfam family "Bacterial small subunit ribosomal RNA", at positions 30 to 417 of the family's 1533-position model. The record is from RNAcentral.
AUUGAACGCUGGCGGCAUGCCUUACACAUGCAAGUCGAACGGUAACGGGCCUUCGGUGCCGACGAGUGGCGAACGGGUGAGUAAUGCAUCGGAACGUACCUUUCAGUGGGGGAUAACGUAGCGAAAGUUACGCUAAUACCGCAUAUUCUGUGAGCAGGAAAGCAGGGGAUCGCAAGACCUUGCGCUGAUUGAGCGGCCGAUGUCAGAUUAGCUAGUUGGUGAGGUAAAGGCUCACCAAGGCGACGAUCUGUAGCGGGUCUGAGAGGAUGAUCCGCCACACUGGAACUGAGACACGGUCCAGACUCCUACGGGAGGCAGCAGUGGGGGAAUUUUGGACAAUGGGGGGCAACCCUGAUCCAGCCAUGCCGCGUGAGUGAAGAAGGCCU